This 408-nucleotide ribosomal RNA is filed under the name uncultured bacterium. Its description in RNAcentral is "partial 16S ribosomal RNA". It matches the Rfam family "Bacterial small subunit ribosomal RNA", at positions 28 to 526 of the family's 1533-position model. The record is from RNAcentral.
GACGAACGCUGGCGGCGUGCUUAACACAUGCAAGUCGAACGGAGUGGCGAACGGGUGAGUAACACGUGGGUGAUCUGCCUUGCACUUCGGGAUAAGCUUGGGAAACUGGGUCUAAUACCGGAUAGUGCAAGAUGCGCUCGCGGCGUAUCGGCUUGUUGGUGGGGUAAUGGCCUACCAUGGCGUCGACGGGUAGCCGGCCUGGGAGGGUGUGCGGCCACAUUGGGACUGAGAUACGGCCCGGACGCCUACGGGGGGCAGCAGUGGGGAAUAUUGCACAAUGGGCGGAAGGCUGAUGCAGGGACGCCGCGUGGGGGAGGAAGGCCUUCGGGUUGUAAACUCCUUUCGACAGGGACGCGGUACCUGUAUAAGAAGCACCGGCUAACUACGUGCCAGCAGCCGCGGUAAUUC